GACGACCUAAUUCGAGAAGGGAUGAGUAUUUAAACAUCGUAUCGCAGGAGAACCUAACCCUAGUCGCCCAACUUCCGCCAAAAAGAAGAACCAGACGAUGGAAAAGGAGGCUGAUCUCCGGUCGCCGCUACACCAGAGCUACCGUCGACUGCCAAAAAAAGUAAAAAAAAUUUCUCCACGCUUGAAAGUCAAUUCCGAGCCUCUUUGUGGCCAUAUCGAAAUAAAAAGAAUGAUGGGUGAGCUAAAAAUCAUGGGUAAAGCCUGACGAAGCCACCGCAGCCAAACCCUAAACCCUCUCUAAUGACCCUUUCUCAUUUCUCGUUUCUCGUUUCACACAAUUCUUUGACCAUUGUGUUCACCGU
This 362-nucleotide long non-coding RNA is filed under the name Carica papaya (papaya). Its description in RNAcentral is "long non-coding RNA (CPAP_LNC002663)". The record is from RNAcentral. Lineage: Eukaryota; Viridiplantae; Streptophyta; Magnoliopsida; Brassicales; Caricaceae.